UUCGACGGGACCCGCACAAGCGGUGGAUGAUGUGGUUUAAUUCGAUGCAACGCGAAAACCUUACCCACCUUUGACAUGUACGGAAUCCUUUAGAGAUAGAGGAGUGCUCGAAAGAGAGCCGUAACACAGGUGCUGCAUGGCUGUCGUCAGCCCGUGUCGUGAGAUGUUGGGUUAAGUCCCGCAACGAGCGCAACCCUUGUCAUUAGUUGCUACGAAAGGGCACUCUAAUGAGACUGCCGGUGACAAACCGGAGGAAAGGUGGGGAUGACGUCAAGUCCUCAUGGCCCUUAUAGGUGGGGCUACACACGUCAUACAAUGGCUGGUACAAAGGGUUGCCAACCCGCGAGGGGGAGCCAAUCCCAUAAAGCCAGUCGUAGUCCGGAUCGCAGUCUGCAACUCGACUGCGUGAAGUCGGAAUCGCUAGUAAUCGUGGAUCAGCAUGUCACGGUGAAUACGUUCCCGGGUCUU
RNAcentral lists this ribosomal RNA (468 nucleotides) under uncultured Comamonas sp. RNAcentral describes it as "bacterial SSU rRNA". It matches the Rfam family "Bacterial small subunit ribosomal RNA", at positions 910 to 1382 of the family's 1533-position model. Lineage: Bacteria; Pseudomonadati; Pseudomonadota; Betaproteobacteria; Burkholderiales; Comamonadaceae. The record is from RNAcentral.